GGAACUAUGGAUCAGUGGUACAGCAUCUACUUGGCAUGCAGUAGGUUCCAGAUUCAAUCUCUGGCAUUUCCA
RNAcentral lists this transfer RNA (72 nucleotides) under Sphaerodactylus townsendi. RNAcentral's name for it is "tRNA-Ala". It matches the Rfam family "tRNA". From Rfam's summary of the family: Transfer RNA (tRNA) molecules are approximately 80 nucleotides in length. Their secondary structure includes four short double-helical elements and three loops (D, anti-codon, and T loops). The record is from RNAcentral. Lineage: Eukaryota; Metazoa; Chordata; Lepidosauria; Squamata; Sphaerodactylidae.